UACGUAGGGGCCUAGCGUUGUCCGGAAUUAUUGGGCGUAAAGGGCUCGUAGGCGGUUUGUCGCGUCGGGAGUGAAAAUUCAGGGCUUAACCCUGAGCCUGCUUCCGAUACGGGCAGACUAGAGGUAUGCAGGGGAGAACGGAAUUCCUGGUGUAGCGGUGAAAUGCGCAGAUAUCAGGAGGAACACCGGUGGCGAAGGCGGUUCUCUGGGCAUUACCUGACGCUGAGGAGCGAAAGCAUGGGGAGCGAACAGG
Molecule: ribosomal RNA, 253 nt
Filed under: uncultured bacterium
Lineage: Bacteria
Description: partial 16S ribosomal RNA
Rfam family: Bacterial small subunit ribosomal RNA
Source: RNAcentral